Transfer RNA from Ovis aries (sheep), 72 nucleotides. It matches the Rfam family "tRNA". From Rfam's summary of the family: Transfer RNA (tRNA) molecules are approximately 80 nucleotides in length. Their secondary structure includes four short double-helical elements and three loops (D, anti-codon, and T loops). The record is from Rfam. NCBI's taxonomy places the organism in Eukaryota, Metazoa, Chordata, Mammalia, Artiodactyla, Bovidae.
UCCCUGGUAGCUCAGGUGGCAAAGUAUCUGCCUGCAAUGCAGGAGACCUGAGUUCAAUCCUGGGUCAGGAAG